RNAcentral lists this long non-coding RNA (9006 nucleotides) under Lactuca sativa (garden lettuce). RNAcentral describes it as "long non-coding RNA (LSAT_LNC007898)". The record is from RNAcentral. Lineage: Eukaryota; Viridiplantae; Streptophyta; Magnoliopsida; Asterales; Asteraceae.
UGGGUUGAAAAACCUAUAUGCUCACCAGGCUCCCCAAUCUGACCCACUCAGUUUCUUGUAUUACAGGUAGUGUCAAAAGCAUAGAUGGAUGAUCCGACGAAAGAUUAUGGAUCUAUAUAAAAUGAAUAGAAUGUUGUUAAGCCUAUGAUGUUUUGAGGCCAUUUUUGUUUUGUGGCCCAUGAUAUUUUGUUUAUGCUUUUGAUCUGUAUUGAUGAUGACAUCCCAGGCUUUAUAAUGUAAUGAAAAUACAUUUCUUAAGAAAUGCUUUGUUAAAAGUUUAUCAUAUUUUGUUUUGGGAACGAAUUUCGCAUUACUUUUCUUUGAAAGAUUACUCUGAUUUUAUUAUAAAAGCAUAAACAAAAUCGGUCUUUUCUGGCUGUGAAAAAUGGGGAUGUCACAUCAAUUGAUCCAUUUCACAUAGUAAGGACCAUAGAUAAACAUAGUGUGCAUGCUUGGAGCAUGGGAUAACUAUUGUUUUAAUUCAAGUAUUAAGUUGAUAAAUCAAAACAUUAUACAAUGAAUAAUGUGUAAUCACUAUGGUGAUUAAAUAAAAGGUGUUUUAUUUAUAUUCAAAAAUUUUGAGACCAUAUUGGAUUCGAUUUUUCUUGUGUUUCACUUUGCAUGUUUUGACUUCCCAAAUAACUAGAUUAUUCAAACUAUCAACAGUCGAUCAUACUUUGGAAGUAGGUAUUGAAGCUAGACUGUCAUGAAUAGGUCUGUAGAUUGUCUAAAGGUGUUUAGACAUAGCACAAGUUUGAUGCAGUAUUCAUGAGUAGUCCUGUAAUAGGAUUUGAGUAUUGGACUAAACCCACUCUGAUUUGAAUUACUUCAUGGAUUUAUUAUAUUCUUGAACCCUAGACAGGUGAGUUGUACUUUACAAGUUGGUUGCACAUUGACAUAUGUAAACACACCAGUAACUUGGUAUUAUAAAACAUAUCGUUGUGUGUGAUUUGAUGAGUAACUAGAGCAAGCAUUUGAGUCGAAGUUCAUCCAUUCCUUUUACCCAAUAUGGGAUAAAAGCGAUAUUUGUGGGCCCCUCGAUGAUUUAGUGAUGACAACCCUAAGCGCUUGGCCAAGCCUGGACUGAUUUGAUUUGUUCAAUUAGUCGGUCGUCACAAAUCGGAAAUCAGGAAACAGCACAUGAACAAAGAAUAUGAUUAUAAUCCAUGUCUCAGUUCAUACGAUAUCUAGAAUGGAGGAAUAUAUGAUCCCUUAUCUAAAGGACGCGUCAGAGUUCGACAGCGACUUUAAGAGCUAUAAUUGCUAGUUGGGUUUUGGAGUCGUACUUGCAGUUAUAGUUAUUAGACUUAUCCAAGUGGGAGACUGUUGGAUUAGGUGUCUAAGCUCAUAACUAUAAUUGGUAUAUACUUGACCUGAGAGUAGCAUGGUCCUUUUGGGUUGCAUUCACCAGGACAAUCUGAUAGGAUGGAUAUUUGAGAAAGAGGUUAUUUAUGAUUUACUAAUAUAUUAUAAGUAUAAUAUAUUAAUAGAGAAAUCAUAUUAUUUAAUUAGUAUUGAUGAAGAAUUAAUUUGAAAUUAGUUUAGUGAUCAAAAGAGACUAAUUAAAUUAACAGGGACUGGUUAAGUCAAUCAAUAAUAUUUAUAGUUUGGACCAAUGAUCCAUAUUGAUUAGGAUGGACUAAUUCUAUGUGGGAGUCCACGAAGAGUUAGUCCAUAAGGCCCAUCAUAUGGAUUAUUGGAUUGAUUAAAGGUUUAAGUAAAUGGACUAGGGUUUACAAGUUAAACAUUAGAAAUUCCAAACUAUAUAUGUGUAACUUCUUUAGCCAAAAUGGUACCUAAGAGUGACAUUGCAAGAGAUGGAAGAUUUUGAGCUUCAUAAUUUCUCUCUCUUUAUUCUCCAAUUGUUCAUGGUGUCUUGUGAUUCCAUUAGAGGUGCAACAUUUGAGGCGCUAUACUCUUAAAGGCCAAAAUACAACACGAUACAACAAGAGGUAAUCUUCUAACUUACUUUUAUGAUUCGUAUGUCAAGUUGUAUGCUAGUUGUAGGCUUCAUGCUUUGGAAAUUUUAUUGCAUGUAUAAUUAAAGAAAACUUAGAUCCAAAGCUAUUAUGGUUGUAUGUGAACCAUAGGAGUGUUACAGUACACAAAACCCAACAAAAAUUUCAUUCUCUACAAUGGGGUUUCUUUCUUCCAUCCUCCCAUGUUUGAGGGAGAACUGAUCAGAUGUGUAUCAGUCGAUAGAUGAAAGAAAGGGAGGGUGUUUUUCUUAUCAGUUUCUGCCGCAAGGUGAUAUUGUGUCAAUUUUUGCUGAAUCAUUUCAUCUUACAGCAAGAGAAUAUUCUCGAAUCAACUGUUCUUUUGGUCUGAUGACCUAGGUGACGUCCAUGUCGCAAGUCAGAUAGGUGAUGUAGUUUGACAAGAUCGGAUGUAACCAAGGAGGUUCAAAAUGUUCCUAAUUCACAAAAUAGACUCUUAUUAUAUGUUGAGUUUUUCAGGGUUUGAGCAUCUAUAAGCAAUUAUUGAAGCUUCAAAGGAGGAUAAGGAUGCAGGUAAAUUCUUGAAAUGCAAGUCUUGGUUGCGUGAAGUUCAGUUCGUAAUGUGCCUCAUUAAUCCAAUUGUAUUUUGAUCGAUUUCACUAAGACUGAGGUGGGGAUGCUAGGGGGGAAGCUUCUGAGGUCUUCAUCUAUGAUUCAAAGUUUCCUUAUGAUUGGAUGAUUAUUAUUCAAAUGAUCAUCUUAUGUCGCAUUAUGCAUUCUGAAGAUCAAGGUUAGUAUAUUUAUGGUUGAGCUGGUCCGAGGUUUUGAUGUCAUAGUUAAGAUUCGAUUAUAGUUUGAACCAUAAAUGGGGGAGAAUUGGGUGUUUUGCAUAAAUGACCAUCGGGCGGUUUGGUUUUUAUAGUUUCAGCACAAAGGGUCAAAGGAAUCUGCGAUUCAGAUAUGCUAGACUUUGGUCCAGGUUUAGUGCUACAUAAGAAAAGGAAAGUGGGAUACCAUUAAAGUGAUCGUGCUUAGGAAGUUUCUCAUUGUGUUUCUCAAGGAUCCGUCAAAGUCCUCCAUAGCCAUGAAGAAUUUAAGAAUUUGUCAGAUUAUGAGUGCAGAUCAAGUUGUCUUCAGGUUUAUGUUUUCCAGGACACAGGUGUUGUCCUCACAACAAAAAGUCGAUGGGUAAGAAAGUCAUUAUGGUUGAUAGUUUCUUCUAGAAACACUAGGAAUCUUGAGAAAUGAGUAUUUGAGUCGCUUAGGUUGGGAAUCACAUAUAAAGAACAAGAUUGGCUCACAAUAUGGAUUUGUUAUUUAUGGUCAUGGGUGGAUAGUUGUUGAUCUGUCAAACAGAUUUAGAGUUUUUUAUGUGAAUUUUAGCAUGGGAGUUUUUCAACAAUGCAGGGAAUCAUUGGGUUUAGUUGUCGAUCCAUUUUCGACCAAUUGGUCAUUUAUUUCCUCGUCAACAUCUAGUAUUUAUCUGAGGGCCUUCAAGUGAUACUAGUUGAAGGUGCUAUUGAUGCGUCAACCUUCGCCAAGUUCUGUAACAUUUAUAUCUUGAUAUCAGUGUAUGUGCUCUCAAAUGUUUGUUUGUGGAACUAUUGUUCUUAGUAGGCUUGAUUUGGCAGUUGUCAUUGGUUAUUGGGAGUUCGGACGUCAGAGCAAUGUUGUUUAGUUUUUAGGCAUUUUGGUGGUCUAUGCAGAGUCUAGUUUUGGCAGGUCAUGUCGAUGGGGUUGGUAUUGGGAUUGAUUCAAAUAGGGUGUUGGCAACACUUCUAGGUAAUUUUGGAAUUCUUCUCCGAAUUUGGAAGUUCUAGUGUUCAAUGGUGCAUUGGAAGGAUCUUUUCAGUUUUAUCUAAGGUGUGGGAUCUCCUUUUGGCUGUUUGGGGAAUGUUUCUUUUAAUGGUUGAGCUUUGUCGUUGUGUUCGACCUGUAGGUACUUCAAUCUUUGGGUAAGGUUAUGUUAAAGAAGGAGCACAUUCGGCCUGAGGAAGGUUUUGUUUUCCCUUAGGAAGUGUGAAUUGUUAGAAAUCCAAUAGAUAAGGUGUUGUGGAGGGUAGGGGAUAAAGUGUGAUAGACUGAGCACACUCGGCCUAGCCGUAUGUAAUAGUAUUAAUUUGAUUUGUUUCUUUCGAUUUGGGGCAAGCAUUCAACAAUUUAUCUUAUUUCCUAGUUUCAUGCAAGCAUGUUUUGUCCAAUGAUGCGUUAAUAGUAUUUUAGAAUGGUAUGGCUCAUGUUUUAUAGAAUGGUAUGGCUCGUGCGGUUUUUGUUAAUUGUAAGGUGGGAUGUCAACUGGGUUCCUGCAAAUCAGUGGGAUGAUGGUCGCGUGCCAAUAGGCCCACCGGGUGUUGGUCAGGAGUCUUCAUGUUUAUGAUUGGGUGAUGGAAAGACUAAUAAGGAACCAUGAUUUUCUCAUUCCAAUAGUUGGAUGGUUUCACGACAUGUUAUGAACCAUCAUGGAGUUCACUUAUGUGUUAGGUCGUCAAUUUUGUCAUCGAAACACGUAUAUGUGGUUCUUUGGUCUUUUGCACAGUUGGGUAUUUUGAGAAAUAUGGAAAUACUAUUGAUGGCUUAGUAAACAAUGGGUUUGGGUCGGGCUUUGGUAGGAUUUUGACUUGUUGGAAAAGUUAUGGUUGUUUAUCGACAGUUCCUUAUGAAGUUUUCUUAGUGGACCUUUAUUCGUUGUUGCGAGGACGGUUUUGAAUUAGUUAAUUUGUCAAUGAUGAAGUUUAUUGUGGUAAUCUUGGAUGGUUUUCUAGAUGGCUAUACCCUAUACCCUCGAGCGUAUAGGAGUAUAGAUGUUGCUCGAGAUUUUCUUCUAAAUUGACCACUGUUACACUGUGGGAGCGGUGGGAUGGUGAUGACUUGUUAAGCAGUCAAGUGUGUAUCUGAGAACUGUUAGGUGAUUUUUGAAUUUGGGAUGGGUUAAAAUUCUUAAUCAAAAUAUUUUUAGUGUUAUUUUGCUCGAUUUAGUAAUGUUCCUAGUCAGGGACCUGGGAUAAAGUAUGACGAGUGGAUAAUCAUCAACCAUUAUGUAUAUCUCUAGAGUUUAGACAGUUGGGUUCCUAGUUUGUGAAUUAAAUUGAUAGAGCUGGUUAGUAUUUCUACUUUUGGUAUUUCCUAUUUAAGUGAUUUUCGGUAUGACGUGGGUCUUAAAGUUCAGAGAGGGAGGAACUUGUUGCAGUUAAGUGUUACAAGUAACCGAGUUAAUUAUUGGCAUCAGUUUAGAUCUGGAUGGUCUAUUGAGUUCGAUAUGUAUAUGUUGAUUAUCAGAAGUGGUUGGAGGGAUCAUAUGGACUAUGUUAUUAGAGUCUCCAGAAAUUUUAACUGAGUUAGAAUUCGAGGAUGAAAUCCAGUUGAAGCGUGGGAUAAUUGUAAAACCUAGUUUUAGAAUGUUUCUAAUUUUCAGAUAGAGGGUCGUCGGUGAAUCAAGUAAAGGUUUUGGGCUUCAAUAUAAUAGAUUUUAGACCCUAUCAGAUAUUGAUAAUGUUCAUUAAGUGAUUAAAUCCCUCGAAUUAUGCUUUGAAGCAAAGGGGUAAAUGGGAAAAGUAACAUUUCGGGCUUCUUGCAUGGAUUAUGGUUUUAGUUCGACAUGUUUUAAGUCAAAAUUAAUUAGAUAGGGUUGUGCGGCUCUUCAAUACAUUUUCGUUCAUAAAAAGAUCGCCGAAAACAUAUUUGAAACAAAAAAGUUAUGAUCGUUUGAAGUUGGAGUGGAAUUGGGUGAAAACCCAUCAUCAUGAGGUGAAGAGCAUAUCCUCAUAAUGUGAUGAGUCUGUCACGAGGUGACAAACUCUUUGUAACGAGGUAAGCAUUGGGCAACCCAAGCCCAUGAACUUUUAGGGUUUUGUAAGUAUUUAAAGGGUAGUUCGGUGUUAUAAGGCAUUUUCCUAUCAUCCAUCAUAUCUAAAGCCUUUUGAGAGAAACCCUAGCCACCCUUGACCACAUUGAGCCUCCCCUCUUCUCUCUCAUCCAUUUUUGUAGUUUUCGGUGGUUUUGGAGUAAUGCUUUCACGCAAGAUUGAUCCUUAAAGCUCGGCAGUUGAAGUCUCACCUUUCAUCUACCUUCUAGACCUUUGUAAGUUAUAAAGUUCCAAGUUUUAUUGCAUUCCAUCUUUGGAUCUAUGUGUAUUUGAUGUUCUAGUCUAUUUUGAUGACUUUUGAGUGAGAGUUUGGAAUAAAGUUUGUAACUUUAUUACUCUUUAAGGUCCCAAGAAGAUUGUAUGAUUCAGAUCUAGACUCACAAGUAGUUUUGAUGUCAUGUAUGGGAUUUUGACACAUUUCUUACCCCUUUUGACCUAGUUUUGGGUAGGAUAUGUAUUAGACAUGCAUGAACAUAAAGCAAGGAUUUUUAUGUUGCAUUUGGGUGUAUGAAAGUCUUCUAGAAAGUAUGGGCGAGUGGGUUAUAGGAUUAAGAGCUUAAUGCAUUGAGAUGGCCAGAGUUGUUCUCACGAUGCGAAGGAUUGGCCUUCAUGAUGUGAGAAAAGGGCAGUCUCUUUGACUGUAUUUUCUUGAGGCUGCCAUGAUGUUAAAAUAGCUUGGUCACAAAAUGGUGGUCGGCUGUAGGCCUUUUGAUAGUUAACUUUGACUUUGACCAUUGACUUUUUGACCAAGUUUUACUUUAGAUCGAUUUUGGGGGUUUGGGUUGUAGUUUGAGAUUUGGUCCCUGAUUUUUGUAUAAGUGACUUAUACUGCAAGUUAAUGUAUCUAUGAUUAACUGUGCUUGUAGUUAUUGUUGUGGUGUAUAUGUCGACAUAGUAUGGUUGGGUUGAGGCGAUACUGUUUUGUGUUGUAGGCCAACAAACUUAGGAGCAUCCAAUCUUAUGUUGUGGGCCUGAAGGCAAUCCAGUCAUAAGUUGUGGACUCAAGAGCAAUCCGGUAUUAUGUUGUAGGCCCAAAGACAAUCUAGUCAUAAGUUGUAGGCUCGGGAGCAAUCUAGUCUUAUGACGUGGGCCUGAGGGCAACCCACUCAUAAAAUGUAGGCUCGGGAGCAAUCCAUUCUUCUGAUGUGGUAUGGGCUCGGGGGCAAUCCAGUUUUAGGAUGUGGGCCCUUGUAAUUAUUUUUUCUGUUAGCUUCUUAUUAAAAAUGUUUGUCUUUCCUUUUAAAACAAUUUUUAGACUUUUAACUUUUUCAAAAAGUUAAAAAAGUCCAAAAACAUAUUUGGGAAAAUAGAAAAAUCUUUUUAAAUCAACUUUUAGCCAUGACAAAAAAGAAGCAUUUUUAAAAAUCAUAAAAUCUUUUUGUGAUUUUUAGUUUUUAUAAGUUUUACAAACCCACCCAAACACAAUUUAAAUACCUCCUUAUUAAAAAAAAGUUCUUUUAAAAAAAUUUAGACUUUUAACUUAAAAAAACAAAUCCCAAACACACACUUACUUUACUAAUUUUGUUUUGCUGUUAAAAAAAAAUCAUGAACAGAUGGCGAAACCCCGGAUUCGUUCAUGGCCACAAUUUCCGAUUCCUCCUUUUCCAUGGCAAAUAAACGUCAACCACCAAUUGACCACAAAAAAAUCAAAUAACACAAAGUAAAUUACAAAACUACCCUCUCCUGCCACGUCAUCGUAUCAAAUGGAUUAACCUUCCACCUGGUCCAAUAACAAGCCAGUAUCCCCCAACACCUAGCCAAUAAUAAUCAGCAUAUGGAUAUCGCCCCUAAAAAUCUCCUCCAUAUUUAGUCACCAGUCACCACCACCAUUAUUCAUCCACAACCGCAACCACCACCACCACUAAAAUCCUCCAUUUCCAUUUCCAGAUUCAUACAUUCUUCUGGGAAUGGCUUCCAAUACAUUAAUGAGCUGCGGCAUCCCCGCCGUAGGCCGCCCCUCGCUUCUCUCCUCUUCCAAAUCAAGAUUCGCGACUGCUGUGCCACUUUCCGGUGUUACCACCAACGCAUCUCGGAUUUCCAUGUCCGCCGAGUGGAUGCCCGGACAACCACGACCACCGUACCUUGACGGAUCUGCACCUGGGUACGUUUUCUUUCGUCUGACGAUUAAUUAGUUUCACAAGAAACGAUUUUUGAAGCUGAUUUACUGAUCUUGUGUGCGUUUCAGUGAUUUUGGGUUUGACCCACUUGGUCUUGGUGAGGUCCCAGAGAACCUUGAAAGAUUCAAAGAGUCGGAGCUCAUUCACUGCAGAUGGGCUAUGCUUGCAGUAGUAAGUCAUUCAUUAACGAAAAAAAAAAUAGCAAUGAUUAGUGUUAUAUGUUUGAUAUAUCAUAUCAUAUAUAUACAUAUACAAGUUACACUUAUUAUUUAUAACAUGUUACAAAUUUGCAGCCUGGGAUUUUGUUACCUGAAGCAUUAGGAUUGGGCAAUUGGGUAAAAGCACAAGAAUGGGCAGCCCUGCCCGGCGGGCAAGCAACAUACCUAGGGAACCCGGUGCCAUGGGGUACCCUACCCACAAUCUUGGCUAUCGAAUUCAUCUCCAUUGCAUUCGUAGAACACCAAAGGAGUAUGGAAAAAGACACAGAAAAGAAGAAGUACCCCGGUGGUGCUUUUGACCCAUUAGGCUACUCAAAAGACCCUAAAACCUUCACAGAGUACAAGGUCAAAGAGAUCAAAAAUGGUAAAUAAAACAUAUAGUACUUAAUANNNNNNNNNNNNNNNNNNNNNNNNNNNNNNNNNNNNNNUAUAUAUAUAUAUAUAUAUAUAUAUACUAACAUACCCUUUUGACCUUUUGACUUAUGUAUGUAUUAAAAUGAAAUGUAGGACGUUUGGCUUUGUUGGCAUUUGUGGGAUUUUGUGUGCAACAAUCGGCUUACCCUGGAACCGGACCCUUGGAGAACUUGGCAACUCAUUUGGCUGACCCAUGGCACAACAACAUUGGAGAUGUCAUUAUUCCUAAAGGAAUUUUCCCAAAUUAAUGUGCAACAUGCAUGCUUGCUUUUGAGCUCCAAAAUUCUCAUAUGUAAAGGCCUUGUAAAACUUCAUCUUGUAAUCAAAUGAACUUAUAUUAUAUUAGUGUCAAUUUCAAAGUUUGUGGUAACUUCUUAAAGAUUUCAUCAAAUUUCGAAAUUUUAUUUCAUCAGAUUGUAUACAAUGAGUUAUCCUAAUCAAAAUCAUUUUAUUUCUCG